This 82-nucleotide transfer RNA is filed under the name Pythium insidiosum. Its description in RNAcentral is "tRNA-Ser". It matches the Rfam family "tRNA". From Rfam's summary of the family: Transfer RNA (tRNA) molecules are approximately 80 nucleotides in length. Their secondary structure includes four short double-helical elements and three loops (D, anti-codon, and T loops). The record is from RNAcentral. Lineage: Eukaryota; Oomycota; Peronosporomycetes; Pythiales; Pythiaceae.
GACAGCUUGGCCGAGUGGUUAAGGCGAUGGACUUGAAAUCCAUUGGGGUAACCUGCGUGAGUUCAAAUCUCAACAGCUGUCG